Molecule: ribosomal RNA, 576 nt
Filed under: Triticum aestivum (bread wheat)
Lineage: Eukaryota; Viridiplantae; Streptophyta; Magnoliopsida; Poales; Poaceae
Description: partial small subunit ribosomal RNA
Source: RNAcentral
AUGGUAGCAUUCAGAGAUACACUGGAAGUGUGCGAGUUGGUGGACUUGGGGUUCUCGGGGAUCCCCUUCACAUACGAUAAUAAAUGCAGCGGCAAUAACAAUGUUCAAGUUCGACUGGAUAGGGCAACAGUGACAAAUGCAUGGAGGAAUCUUUUUCCUUUCUGCACUGUUGUGCACGUAGUCUCCCCUUGUUCUGAUCAUAUAGCCCUAGUGCUGAAAGGUGAACCGGAAUCGGAUCGAUCAGGACCAAAAACAAGGAGGUAUGAAGUAUUCUGGGAGCGAGACGUGAACCUCCCAAAGAUCAUCAAGGAGGCUUGGGACUCGGUGGGGGCUGUAGAUAAUCUGGAAAAGCUGCAAAUAGCGCUGCGGAAAACUAUGGCCACCCUUGGAGCAUGGAGAAAUAAGCGGUUUGUUAAUGUUGCUUGGGAGUUGGCUAAAUCUAGAUCGCAGCUUGAAGAACUCAUGCAUAUGAAUGCGGAUCGGCAGGAGAUAAGGAGGAUUACAGACAAAAUGAAUGAACUGAUUUAUCAAGAAGAGAUGCUCUGGAUGCAAAGAUCGAGAAUCUCAUGGCUCAAA